CUGGUCCAGAGUGCCACUGCCCGAUGUGAGCAUGGGCAGCAGGCGGGCGGGCGUCGCUGCUGCCCGCACCACCAGCAGUGCCCCGAGCAGCAGUGUCCAGCGGAGCUGGGCCCCGUGAGCCAUGCGCAGGGCCUGCACUCAGUUUGGGACGAGGUGGUGUCCGGUGGCUGCGAGCAGAGAGCUGCUGGGGACAGACUGAGGCUGAGUGGAUGGGCCUGGCAGGGCUGCUCAGGUCUCAGGAGGGCCUCGCCUCUUGACACCUUGGUCAGCCAGGGACACAGGUGCCAUCACACAUGCCCCUUGCCAUGCCAGCUCAGCCAAACCCUGGCCCCAGGCCCUGAGGUGAGGCGUGGCACUGAGGAUCUCAGCUCCUGCCUGGGAAGCAGAUACCAAAUGUCCUGGGCUCUGGGCCUUCUCCAAACGGUGCGUACACACACGGAGACGCGCGUGCCAUGUACACGCAUGUACGGGCAACGCACAGUGGCCCUUCGGUCAGUAACACAGGCAACCUGACAUGCAGAGAUCCACGGGGAACUGCUGGGCAAAGGUGGGGCAAGAUGCCAGGACCUGGCAGUUGAUCGGUGAGCAGAGGGAAGCCCCCCCCUCCCCAGAAAGGCCAGUGUCCAGUGCUGGUCAGCUGGUGUGACCCUCCCACUUUGCUCCCCUCCCCUGGGCAUGCCUCCUUUUGUCACCCACCCCUCCUCUGCACUUUGAGCUCCGCCGCACCUCCCACCUCACCUCUCUGGCAGCCUCCCAUCACCUUUCCAGGCCAGGAAGACCAGGUCACCUCAGUCCCUGGCCCCCUUCCAGCUCCUCCUCAGGCCCACUCUGCGGUGGUCCUCCUGCAGCCCCUGCAGGGCUUUCCCUCCCUCAUCAGCCCCGUCUUGCCCGCCCCACCCAUUUUCUUGCCCAGCCCUGCAGGCCCUGGGACCCACGGACAGCCUGACAACUGCACCUCACACCAGCUCUCUCUCUACAUCCAGCCUGUCUAGCCAGCAGCUGGACAGCGGCCUAUGACCUGCAGGCCCUCACCUUUACCCAGGUGCUGUGCAUGUCAACACUCCCUCCAUGCCCCACCUCCACCCCACCAGCAGCCUCUGGAUGGACCUGUCAAUCCCUUCCUGUCUCAAGUGGCUUCCCAAGGGACACCUGCUGAGGAAGCUACACACUGCCCACCUGCCUGCCGGACCCCAGUGGCUAGACCGAGAAAGAAAAACACUUUGGUGUGAACACA
Echinops telfairi (small Madagascar hedgehog) is the source of this 1234-nucleotide long non-coding RNA. RefSeq lists it as uncharacterized. NCBI's taxonomy places the organism in Eukaryota, Metazoa, Chordata, Mammalia, Afrosoricida, Tenrecidae. The transcript has 3 exons. The record is from RefSeq and is a predicted model, not a curated record.